CAAUGGGGAACGCCACUUCAUACUCCUUGGGAGGCACCGAGCUCCGUCGUCUCGUUUCCGGCGGUCGCGCGCUCUUUUCUCGGGACGGUAGAGGCCGUGUAGCGUCUCCGUUACUCUGAGGAAAGAACCGUCGGUAGAGGAGAAUUGGAGGUUAGGACUGGGAGGUACUUGGCCAUCCUCAAAAGUUGAGUACAAAAAUGCAGAGCAAUAAAACUUUUAACUUGGAGAAGCAAAACCCA
Molecule: non-coding RNA, 239 nt
Organism: Oryctolagus cuniculus (rabbit)
Lineage: Eukaryota; Metazoa; Chordata; Mammalia; Lagomorpha; Leporidae
Source: RefSeq, a predicted model, not a curated record